GGUCUCACGGGCCCGUUGGUGAGUGGUUUCUGGUGGGGGCCCGGUGUGGACCUCCCGAGGGCUUUGGUUUGCUGCUGCUCGUCCUCGUGUCCCAUCACCGACCGCACAGCUGACCGUCGUAUUCUGGAAGGAACAUUGUGUGCAUUCUUGCCUUUCUUUCUUUUUCUUUUUUUUAACUGAAGGAACUUCGCCUCGCUUUCUUCAGGUGUCACAGGCCACUGCCCAAUGAGCAGGACAACUGGAGAUGCUGUGUCUCCUAUCCCCAGAUUCCUCCGGUGCUUACUCUAGAUUCACUUUAUUGGUCCAGAUGGACAUAAAGCAAGUGCUAAAUUAUGGCCUGCUCGCUGGUAGGGAUAAGAGUUUGUGUCCUCAAGUCCAGUGUGUAGGAAUGAACUUCAGAGAGGAUCAGAACAGCCUGCGCUUGUUCUAAACAUUUUCCCGUUGGGUUUGAGGGUGCCUCUGCGAGUCAUGGCCUGGUGCUGCCUGCUUCUCCACAGGGUCGGGGCCCCCAGCGGAACCUCGCCAGCUCCUGGCUUCCACCACAGUCCCCUUUUUCCGUCACUCCCUUCCGCUUCUUUGUGGUUCUCUUUCCCACCAGGACCUCACUGGUAGAAUCCUCCUUCUGUGUUUUCAGCCCUUCCACUCCCUUUCUCUCACUGUGGAAUCACAGGGCAUCAGGGCCUCUUUAAAAACAACAGAACAAGAGCUCUCCCACAAUCCUGUGUCCUGCUUCUCUCUCUGCAAUAGAAUCUUCAAGGUUCUUGAAAGAAUAGCCUGUAUCUGUUAUCACCAGCCGGUGCCUCAGCUUACCACAGCCUGUCUCGCUGCAUCAGCAAACCACCCUUGAGAGGUCACCAUUGACCUUGGAUUUACCCAACCCUGUAGCUACCUGCUGGGCCUUCUUCUAUUCUUUCUGUGGUCUCUGGAAGUAUUGCAUGGUCCCACGCCGAAGCUCCCUUCCUCGAGCUUCCAGGUUGUGUUUCUGUCCUGUCCUCGUGUUUCUCUUGGCCAUCCUUCCCAGCCUGGCCCCUGGCUCGUGGUCCUCGGCCUGCCCCACCUUCUGGCGUCAUCUGGGAGUUAGGCCCCGUUCCUUGGCUCCCAGUCCUUUAAAGCUUGAUUUCUGUGGAGUUUUUAAUCUUAAUUUUAUCUAAUUUCACAUUUUUAUAGUUCUUAAAGGCAAUAAGUUAUGUAAACCUUAAGAAAAAUGGCAUGACCCUCCCCGUCCCCCAUCCCUUUGCCCAGAGCUAUGGCUUUCAACUUUUAGUUGUUUGUUUUGUUACAUAUUUCCAUCUUUCUUAAUGUGCUUUGAUUUCUUUUUUUUUUUUUUUUUAUGUUUUAGACAUUAUCUAUUGGCUUUCUACUCUAAACGGUGAGACUUUCACGAGCAUUCCAUUCUACAAACCACACACUUCUACUGACACACACCCACCCACAAACUCACACGUGGACACCUCAGACUCCAUACACUCCCCUGCACAUCACCGCUGGACCCCCUACAUCACACUCCCCAGCCCCCGCUGUAUACCCAGUCUUCUCUCCCCUCAUCUUCCAUGAUGAUUAAAUAAUAAUUUGGGGUUAUAUUAAUAUUCAGUGUUUUCAUUAUUCUAACUCUAUAAAUAUUAAUCACAGCUGAGCCAUGUAGAGUUUUAUAAUUUCAUUUACCUUCUUGUACAACUUUUUAUUUUCCCUGGUUUGCUAGGUAUCUAUGAUUAAUUCAUGGCUAGCCCUCUGCCAGAGUAGACAUUUCCUGGUCUCUGAAGGCCCUGCCAGAUCAGUUGUUCUGUCAGCUUCGUUUCUUCCUGGAGAUGUCCCUCCUGAGCCCCUCCAGACCCCUCUGCUCCCUGCCCCUGUCCCUACCCCCUUGCUGCUUUUUUGGUCUCUUUACGUAAAUGGAGUGAGCUGCUAUACGAAACGGGGAGCAUGCGCCCUCCCUGCUGGAGUAGCUGAGGUUUCAUUCUCAAAAUGGAGAGGCCAGUUUCUUUCUUCAGGAACCAGGGUCAUUUCUUGGGUGCCAGCAUAACUUUUGUCACCUCUGGGUCACUGCAAGACUGUUCUUUCCCCUGUGGUUUUCAGAUGUCUCUUCUGGUUCAAGUUCAAAUGCUGUGAUCUCGGGGGCUUCCUCUUGGUGCCCGACCCUGUCCCUCCACCUUUAUGCGCUCAGGAAUGAGGGGCGAGGCCGACACCCCAGACUCAUCUAUGCCCGAACACAGCCUGUUGAGCCAUCUGCCUGUGGGGGUCCCCGUUUUCCGCCUUUUGGCCUCUGUUUGAUCCUGCCACUUGGCAUUAUUUUGCUGUGGAGCCAUUUUACAGGAUUCUCCUGUCCCAUCCAUAAAUGCAGACCUAUUUAUUUCAGGGUUGUUUUUUUUUCUCCCCCAGCUCUGCAUACGUCAUUGUUUUAAUCUUCUGUUAAAAGCUGGUCCCUUUCGCCCUUCAAUUCUUUCUUUCACUCUCCUCAGAAUUCCCUUUUUAUUAAUGAGGUGCCCCAAACUAAAUAGUGUACAGCUGCCAUUUCACCCGGGGUCUAUGGACUGGAACAAACAGUUCCCUGUUUUAUAAUGUAAUACUUCUAUUUAUGCAGUCCGCUCUGGAAUUGCUUUCUUACACCAUUGCCUUCUGGGUUUCUCUCAUUUAAUGCGUAUUAAGAGUUAUUUUUCCCCCUGAAGUGUAUGAGCAACUUUAGUCUAGAUGAUAGACUUCCUUUCUGUAUUUCAAAAUCCUUUUGUAUUGUCUUUGGCCUGGAGUCAUGUUUUUUGCUCUCCACCCUCCUCCCUCUCCAUCCUGCGCCCUCCUCCCUCACACAUGCGGGCUGAGCCCAUACUCUUCCCUAAUGACAGAAGGGCAAAUUCUUAGGUAAUGUUCACGUUGACAGUAAAAGUAACUUGGUGCCAUUUUAGAAACCCCUUUAAGACAACUCCUCUUAAAAUAUGUCCUCCUUCCCCAUAGGGAUUGGCUCCUAACUUCUUGAGAGAAUAUUUUCAAGAAAAGGUGAAUUUAAGACACUGAAAGUCAUCAACUUCAAAUUUAUCAACAGAGACUUUAUCAAAUAUUCCCAAUCUUCUCUUCUCUCAAGUAGGGGUCAGGACAUUAGUGUUCAGCUGGAACCGCCAUUCGUGUAGCAUAAGGAAGCCAUGGGGAGGUCUUCGAGCACCUUUUGGGGACCCCUGCUUGUUCUAACUAUAAACUGCAUGUAAAUGGUGUGCUGUCUAGAGUUUUCUACUCUGGCCUUCUGUCAACAGCUAGUUAAAUGAUGGUGUUCUUUCUUCUUUCCUUUCUGCCUCUGUUGUCCACACACCGGAAAGUUGUCCAAAAGAAAUAACUUCCUUCUCUGAACUCAGGACCUCCAACCCCAGUCCCCCAACACCUUCUUUCCACAGGUAUCCUUGCGUGGUCCUUGCUGCGGCUGGUGGAGAGAACUCUAGAAUAGUUUCUUCCCUGUGGUUGACAAAAAAAAUCUCUUCAGAUUUUCCUUGUUAACUUAAAGCCAGUAUGUUUUCCAGUCAGUCAAGUUCGCCACGUAGCCUUCCAACCCGCAUGAAUUUGUAAGUAUGGAGGAGGAGACACGGUGAAGCUCUCCUCCGCCCUUCAGAACUUUGUGGUAGCGGCCAGGAUUCACACCUGUCACUGAUCGCAUAAGCCCUUGAGAGGCCUCGUGGCCGAACUUAAAACACCUAGGCCCUGCCCUGCACCAAAGGGCCAAGUGUCAGCUGCUGGAGGUGUGCUGAUAGUACACCACUGCCCCCUGCGUGGUCCUGCUUGUGUGAGGCUUUACCCUUCUGCUCGUGGGCAAGCCAGGCCCUGUAUCAUAUUGUCUUUAACCUAGUGUGAUAGUUGUGUGCUUAUGCUUGCCACGUCACCCCCACGCUAGACAGGCAGGCAGGCACACAUAUGCACGUGUGCACACACUCACACACACACACACACACACACACACACACGCACAAUGGGACUUCCCAUUUAAAAAAUGGCUUGGAAAUAUACAGCUCAGAGAAAAGGAAGUAAUUUAAACAGGUGAAGUUUCCCCUCUGCCUCCCUGCCCAGUUUUUUGGUAAUGGGCCUGAGUGCAUUUUCUGCAAGACCAAGUGUUCUCUGGACUUUUUUGGGAUUUGGUCUUUUCAUUUUGUGCCCACAACCAGGUAGAGGUAGAGGUAGAGGUAGAGAAGGCUCGUUGUUAAGCACUGACUGACACACUGAGUUCUAGCCUUUCGUUAUUGGCACUGGCUGUUUACUUCCCCUUAGUUGACUGGAAGCUCAUGGAAGAUUGAAAGCUCUCAUAGGUGGGUCAUGUGAAGGACCACUUCCCUGUUUGCUUAUUAAAAAGGCAUUUCUGGCUCCCGGGUGAAGCUGUAGUUAAUUUCACUAUAUCAUUGCCCUGGGCUUCUGGAAGACAAGAGGUCCUUUGUGUUCCUCCUGUCUGCCUGCCUCCUCCUCCUCCUCCUCCUCCUCCUCCUCCUCCUCCUCCUCCUCCUCUUCUUCCUUUUUUCUGUCUUACCCUUGCCUUAACUAUUUUCUCUUGCACAUAGUCCUAGAGCUCCAGACUUUGCACAGAUGUAAUUUAACGGUUCUCGAUUGCACGCCGACUAUGUUCAAGACUUUUUAUGAGUCGGGAGACGCCUCUGACGUUUCCUCUCCUCUCUUGAUGUGGAUACCCUGGUGGAUAUGCCAGCCCAGGCAUUCGAGGCAACCAGAUGAUGACUCAGUUUACAGAGGGCACAGCUCUUUGGAGUUUAAGAGAAUAUUUUGUUUGGAGCGGAAGCUGGCAUCCCCCUUCACUGACACGUCUUUGGCGCUCGAGGUCGUGAAUUCCUGGGGUCGGGAGGCAGAGGCUUGCCAAGUGAUAAUGUGGAUUUGGUGACAACCUGUUCUGAAACACUCACUGGCUUCUCUUGAUGGAUCAUUUUUUCAUACCAUGUUUCAGGGAGUUUUUGCUUUUAACUUCUGCAGCUUAAAAGAGUAAGAAAAUGUUCUCUUUUCAAAACUUUCUCAUUUUGUCCUGUUUUUAUUUUUCAAAAUUGGUAUGAGGCUGCCUUCUAACUAUGAAGUACAUCUUUUUUUUCUAUAAGUAGCUAAAUUAUAUGCAAUUUUAGAGUAAUUUUUCUCAUAGCACUGAAAUAUGUUAAGACCAGUUCUGUAAUUCCAAAACAUUGUUUUUGUAAAACCAAACAGCUGUGUUCUUUUUUUUUUUUUUCGCCUUUUUAUGGUAUGUCUUGUUGUUGGGACUUGGGAAAAGGUAUGGGGAUAAAAAUAUUGCCAACUAAAGACAUUACAUGUAAAAGAAAUCAUAACAGAUUGGAGUGAGUGAAAUUUUAUGUAUUACAGAGGAGUGGAAAAAUAUGACUGUGUGUUAAAUAUAUUUUCUGACAAGGACUGUUUGGACAAUAGGAGUAUAAACCUCAGUGCUUUUUGGAAAGAUACUUGACAACGCACGGAUAAAGAGAGAUCAUUAUGUGUCAGCGUGAAAGAGGGCAUAAUACCGUUAAAGGAAAAAUGGAGUUUAUAGAAUAACAUGAUUUGGUUCUGUUAGUUUGAUUAAUUUGAUUCUAUUUUGUAAAAGUAUUUUUCUUAAAGCUUUUAAAAUAACCAUUCUCAGCAAAGUUUGUAAUUGGCGUCUCUGGCUGUUUCAUGGGUGGGAUCUACUUAACGUGGAAUCUAAGAGAGUGUCAGGCACAUGGCAGGACUCAGAUAUUGAUGGCACGUGUACACACAGAUACUAACACUAUUGCUAAGAACAUACCAAAGAGUAAAUCUUGGUUGUCUUUUGUCGUAGAGACACUUUUCUGUUUGUCACUGUAAAGCAUACAUAGUUUGAUUACCGUCUGAUUCUCUUGCAUUUUGCAUCUACAUGGCGAGGACAGGAGUAGUUCUUAGGGUAUAUACACUGUCUUGUUUUUCUGUUGGAACAGAUUUUCUGAUUUGCCUUAAUUAGUCCUCUAACAAUCUACAAAGGUCAGCGCCAAUUGCCUGUUCAUUUACAUUUGUAAUUGUGAUGGCUUCUGAUUACAUAUUCCUUGUCUUAGUCCUUCCUGUAAGUAUAUGCUAGUGUGCCCUCCCCUUCCCUCCUCCCACAUCCCGCACAUGCAUCAGCCCAGUGUGGACGCCGAGGAUCUGACUCUUCAUACAAGAAACCUUUGUGGGGAUGGUCCAGCCUUCCCUUGAAUUUCAGCGUCUGUUAUGGAAAGGCAUCUUGGAGAGGCCGUCGCUUCUAAGUUAGGAAUAUAAUGAAGCCAGAGUCAGGGAAAUUAUGUCGAUGCCAGGCAAGAAAUCUGAGAGCCAUUAUCUAGGAGCCUUCUCGAACUGGGUAAUUAAGGGCAAUUAAACUUUCCUGCUUGCUCUCUGCACAAUAUGCUAAUGAUCUGGUCUUUUGGAAGGUGGACACGUCUGAAAUGUGGUUUCAUUGCCGUCCCAUGUUCUGGUCUGGAAGGGUCUCUCCGAAGAGGGUGAGAUGUCACGACACCAGUGGCUUGGGCAAUGGGUCCAGAGUCUCCAACCUCCCAUGUAAUCUCUUUCCUCUCUGUCUUUUCCAGGAGAGGCUAACAUCCACAUCCAGACCUGGACCUUUAAGAUAUUAUCCAAAACCUGGCUGCAGUAGCCUGAGUUGCAGUGAUGCUUAUUCAUUCGCCCUUUCAUAUUCUAGAUCUGCCAUUCACUAGUUGAUUUAUUUUUAUGAGCUGAUCAAAGCUACCAGGGAUUUGUUUGUUUGUUUUAUUUUACUAUAUAAAUCUGGAGCAUACGUUGCCCUGUACAGUGGGCUAUACGUGUGGCUACACAUUGUGGGCCACUUAGCCUUGUUCUUGGUUGGGGGCUCUAGGUUGUCUUCCAUACUGUCCUCUGGGGUAGGUAGUAGUGUGUGUCCUCAUGGCCACCUAGUGCUGCCCACUCUGGGAGGCAGCAAUACCAUGGCCACUCUCUUCUAGGGAGGGUGGUAACAAGGAGCACUGCAAAAAG
Felis catus (domestic cat) is the source of this 6942-nucleotide long non-coding RNA. RefSeq lists it as uncharacterized. The transcript is spliced from 2 exons. The record is from RefSeq and is a predicted model, not a curated record. NCBI's taxonomy places the organism in Eukaryota, Metazoa, Chordata, Mammalia, Carnivora, Felidae.